AGGGUUUGAUUCUGGCUCAGGAUGAACGCUGGCGGCGUGCUUAACACAUGCAAGUCGAACGAUGAAGGAAGAGCUUGCUUUUCUGGAUUAGUGGCGAACGGGUGAGUAAUACGUGAGUAACCUGCCCUUGUCUUUGGGAUAAGCCUGGGAAACUGGGUCUAAUACUGGAUAUUCUGCUUUUACCGCAUGGUGGGGGUUGGAAAGGGUUUCUGGAUAGGGAUGGGCUCACGGCCUAUCAGUUUGUUGGUGGGGUGAUGGCCUACCAAGACUGCGACGGGUAGCCGGCCUGAGAGGGUGGUCGGUCACAUUGGGACUGAGAUACGGCCCAG
This 329-nucleotide ribosomal RNA is filed under the name uncultured bacterium. RNAcentral describes it as "bacterial SSU rRNA". It matches the Rfam family "Bacterial small subunit ribosomal RNA", at positions 8 to 334 of the family's 1533-position model. The record is from RNAcentral.